GGCUUUUUGGCGAUUUGGUCAGCGCAUUUGACUCUUACCCGGGAGUCUGGGGUUCAAUUCCCCGAUCGGGUCU
This is a non-coding RNA of Gymnothorax javanicus (giant moray), 73 nucleotides long. The record is from the annotation of a GenBank genome assembly. Lineage: Eukaryota; Metazoa; Chordata; Actinopteri; Anguilliformes; Muraenidae.